Molecule: ribosomal RNA, 214 nt
Filed under: uncultured bacterium
Lineage: Bacteria
Description: partial 16S ribosomal RNA
Rfam family: Bacterial small subunit ribosomal RNA
Source: RNAcentral
UACGUAGGGUGCAAGCGUUGUCCGGAAUUAUUGGGCGUAAAGAGCUCGUAGGCGGUUUGUCGCGUCUGCUGUGAAAUCUCCGGGCUUAACCCGGAAGGGUCGUUCGAUACUGUUGAGCUAGAGUGUGGAAGAGGCAACUAGAAUUCCGUGUGUAGCGGUGAAAUGCGUAGAUAUACGGAGGAAUACCUGAGGCGAAGGCGGGUCGUCUGGGCCA